AUGAUGAACGCUAGCUACAGGCUUAACACAUGCAAGUCGAGGGGCAGCAUGGUCUUAGCUUGCUAAGGCCGAUGGCGACCGGCGCACGGGUGAGUAACACGUAUCCAACCUGCCGUCUACUCUUGGACAGCCUUCUGAAAGGAAGAUUAAUACAAGAUGGCAUCAUGAGUCCGCAUGUUCACAUGAUUAAAGGUAUUCCGGUAGACGAUGGGGAUGCGUUCCAUUACAUAGUAGGCGGGGUAACGGCCCACCUAGUCUUCGAUGGAUAGGGGUUCUGAGAGGAAGGUCCCCCACAUUGGAACUGAGACACGGUCCAAACUCCUACGGGAGGCAGCAGUGAGGAAUAUUGGUCAAUGGGCGAGAGCCUGAACCAGCCAAGUAGCGUGAAGGAUGACUGCCCUAUGGGUUGUAAACUUCUUUUAUAAAGGAAUAAAGUCGGGUAUGCAUACCCGUUUGCAUGUACUUUAUGAAUAAGGAUCGGCUAACUCCGUGCCAGCAGCCGCGGUAAUACGGAGGAUCCGAGCGUUAUCCGGAUUUAUUGGGUUUAAAGGGAGCGUAGAUGGAUGUUUAAGUCAGUUGUGAAAGUUUGCGGCUCAACCGUAAAAUUGCAGUUGAUACUGGAUAUCUUGAGUGCAGUUGAGGCAGGCGGAAUUCGUGGUGUAGCGGUGAAAUGCUUAGAUAUCACGAAGAACUCCGAUUGCGAAGGCAGCCUGCUAAGCUGCAACUGACAUUGAGGCUCGAAAGUGUGGGUAUCAAACAGGAUUAGAUACCCUGGUAGUCCACACGGUAAACGAUGAAUACUCGCUGUUUGCGAUAUACAGCAAGCGGCCAAGCGAAAGCGUUAAGUAUUCCACCUGGGGAGUACGCCGGCAACGGUGAAACUCAAAGGAAUUGACGGGGGCCCGCACAAGCGGAGGAACAUGUGGUUUAAUUAGAUGAUACGCGAGGAACCUUACCCGGGCUUAAAUUGCAGAUGAAUUACGGUGAAAGCCGUAAGCCGCAAGGCAUCUGUGAAGGUGCUGCAUGGUUGUCGUCAGCUCGUGCCGUGAGGUGUCGGCUUAAGUGCCAUAACGAGCGCAACCCUUGUUGUCAGUUACUAACAGGUUCCGCUGAGGACUCUGACAAGACUGCCAUCGUAAGAUGUGAGGAAGGUGGGGAUGACGUCAAAUCAGCACGGCCCUUACGUCCGGGGCUACACACGUGUUACAAUGGGGGGUACAGAGGGCCGGUACCACGCGAGUGGAUGCCAAUCCCCAAAACCUCUCUCAGUUCGGACUGGAGUCUGCAACCCGACUCCACGAAGCUGGAUUCGCUAGUAAUCGCGCAUCAGCCACGGCGCGGUGAAUACGUUCCCGGGCCUUGUACACACCGCCCGUCAAGCCAUGGGAGCCGGGGGUACCUGAAGUGCGUAACCGCGAGGAGCGCCCUAGGGU
Molecule: ribosomal RNA, 1433 nt
Filed under: uncultured organism
Description: SSU rRNA
Rfam family: Bacterial small subunit ribosomal RNA
Source: RNAcentral